CCAAACUUGGUCAUUUAGAGGAAGUAAAAGUCGUAACAAGGUUUCCGUAGGUGAACCUGCGGAAGGAUCAUUAACAAUUAUCCUCAAUCAUGGAUAAUUUUAUCCAUAUCCACCUUGUGUGAAUUAUUGAAUGUUUAUUGGCAGAUUUUAAAGCCUUUCCGUUAUUAUCGGGAAGAACUUGUGAGUUGGCGCUGAUGUUUCAUUCAGUGUCCAGCUCGGCCUGCCAAUUUUAUUUGUUUAAACAUGUCUAAAUACUACUGGUCUGAAAUAUUUUAAAUAUAAUAAAAUACAACUUUCAACAACGGAUCUCUUGGCUCUCGCAUCGAUGAAGAACGCAGC
This 339-nucleotide unclassified non-coding RNA is filed under the name uncultured fungus. RNAcentral's name for it is "partial contains small subunit ribosomal RNA, internal transcribed spacer 1, and 5.8S ribosomal RNA". The stretch from base 1 to 73 matches the Rfam family "Eukaryotic small subunit ribosomal RNA", at positions 1759 to 1831 of the family's 1831-position model. Lineage: Eukaryota; Fungi. The record is from RNAcentral.